This 218-nucleotide long non-coding RNA is filed under the name Homo sapiens (human). RNAcentral describes it as "non-protein coding lnc-ETNK2-1:9". Lineage: Eukaryota; Metazoa; Chordata; Mammalia; Primates; Hominidae. The record is from RNAcentral.
GCUUCCAGAGGAUUAUGUAACCAAAUCCAAGCACACACCACUCACCACACAACAGCAAGUAAGCUGAGAGAUCUUCCUCAAGAGAAUGCCCUCAAUCCGAGAAAGCCUGAAGGAACGAGGUGUGGACAUGGCCAGGCUUGGUCCCGAGUGGAGCCAACCCAUGAAGAGGCUGACACUUGGCAACACCACCUCCUCCGUGAUCCUCACCAACUACAUGG